Molecule: long non-coding RNA, 6102 nt
Filed under: Capsicum annuum
Lineage: Eukaryota; Viridiplantae; Streptophyta; Magnoliopsida; Solanales; Solanaceae
Description: long non-coding RNA (CANN_LNC000254)
Source: RNAcentral
UUAUAUAGCCAACAUGUGCCUCUUCUGAAAAGUGGCAAUGGUUCACUUAAAAGGUGUGACCUUUCUGGAAAAGCCAUCUUUGUUCGUCCAAAGAAUGUGUAUUUUUCGAACAGGCAUACCAUUUCAUGAAUCAGUGUAUCAUUUCGUUGAAGGGUUACAUCCCUUCGUUUCAGCACUGCACUAUUUCGAAACACUGUUUCGAAAUCUGCAUGCAUGCAUAUAAAUGAAGUAUCAAAACACAGAAAAAGUUGUGUUUUUUCCUUUGGUAUUUUCAAACUGAAUUUCUGUCAACUAAACUUUGUCCAAAAAGAUCGAUCUCAUCGAUCGAUCAUUUGACAAAUCUAAAUUCAAAGUCGAGCCGAGCGACGACGACGACGAUGGCGCGAGGCAUCUCUUAUUUCUUUCCUCACUUACCAUGUGGAGUAAGUAUCUCUUAUUUUAAACACUCACAAGUUCUCUUCUUCCACCAAUGUGGGAGAAAGAGUGAACUUUUCAACUUGGGAGUACACUUUCUAAAUUGGUGUCUCCUUUCUCCACCAUUUUUCCUCCAUUCUCCAUUCACACUUUUUCAUAUACUUUGAACCAAACAAUCCCCCACAUGAAUGGAAAAUGAUUAUUUUUCAUAAAAUUUUUACGGACAAGUAUGUGAUCAUCAAGUAAAGACUGAUUGCAUCUGGAUAAGUGAGUUUUCCUUUGAACUUUCUAUAGUGAACAUGCAUCGGAUGUAUUGGAUAAAUCGGUAGAUUUGAUAUCUUUGAAUCAUCAAGCUUUAGUGUACACCUAGACAACACAUGUCACACAACCAAUCUUUUACCGUUUAUGGUUCUCACGGUUUUGUUCAUUUCAGCCAUGAACACGUCCCAGUUUCAUGAGAGCUUAGAGAAUAGGCCUUUACUAACAUUCUCUUUGAAGCAUCUUCCACUUCACCCUCACAUAGGUGAUUUCUAAACGUUCAAUCCUAUAGAUUAAACUAUUUGGUCAAAUCUGCCAAAUUUAGAUAAUCAUUAAAAAACUUUUCACCUUAAGUCUUAUCCUUAUUUACUAAACAUUGUCUACAUCAUGAGAAUGGGUUGGGUAAUUGACAAUAUUAAACCUGUCAGACACAACUUUGUUUGAUCUCCUUGAACCUAGCUCUUGGGAUCUCCAGUAUGCUAGGUAGAGUUACCGCAAUGCUGAUUUAUCCUAGGCCUUAAAUCCAUUCCCUUGGAUAUCCUUUUCACUCCUUCUCUAGAUAGACCUUUUGUAAGUGGAUCUGACACAUUAUCCUUUGACUUCACAUAGUCAACAGUGCUAAUUCCACUAGAGAGAAGUUCUCUAACGGUAUUAUGUCUCUGUCGUAUGUGACGAGAUUUACCGUUGUAUAUCAUGUUCCCUGCCCUACCUAUUGCCGCUUGUCUAUCACGGUGUAUACAUACUAGUGCCACUGGUUUGGGCCAAUAAGGAAUAUCUUCCAAAAAAUUUUGGAGCAAUUCUACUUCUUCACCAUUUUUAUCCAAUGCGAUAAAUUCAGAUUCCAUUGUAGAGCGAGCAAUACAAGUCUGUUUGGAUGAUUUCCAAGAGACUGCUCCUUCACCGAUAUUAAAUACAUAUCCACUAGUGGAUUUUACUUCGUUCAAUCCGGUGAUUCAAUUUGCACCACUAUAUCCUUCGAGUACCGCGGAAUAUUUAUUAUAAUGCAAGGCAUAGUCUUGAGUGUAUUUAAGAUACCCCAAAACUCUUUUCAUUGCCAUCCAAUGAGUUUUAUUGGGAUUACUCGUGUACCGACUCAAUUUACUAAUAGCGCAUGUUAUGUCUGGUCGUGUACAGUUCAUUAUAUACAUUAAACAUCCCAAUAUUCUUGCGUACUCCAAUUGUGAGUCACUUUCACCUUCAUUCUUUCAAAGUACAAAGCUCAUAUCCAAUGGAGUCUUGGCAAUACCGAAUUCCAUAUACUUGAAUUUUUUAGGUACAUUUUUGAUAUAAUGAGACUGUAACAAUGCUAACCCUUGUGAAGUUCUAUGAAUUCUUAUUCCUAAGAUCACAUCCGCAACUCCAAGGUCUUUCAUAUCGAACUUACUCUCGAGCAUUCGUUUUAUUACAUUUAUGUCAGAAAUGUCUCUACUGAUGAUCAACAUAUCAUCCACACAUAAACAAACAAUGACUUGGUGAUUUGGAGUGCCUUUAAUAUAAACACAUUUAUCACAUUCAUUUAUCUUGAACCCAUUUGCCAACAUGAUUUGGUCAAACUUCGCAUGUCAUUGUUUAGGUGUUUGUUUUAGUCCAUACAAUGACUUAAUAAGUUUAUACACUUUAUUUUCCUUUCCUGGAACCACAAAACCUUCAGGUUGUUUCAUGUAAAUUUCUUCCUCUAAUUCUCCAUUUAGGAAUACGAUUUUCACAUCCAUUUGAUGGAUUUCAAGACCAUAUACUGCCGCCAAGGCAAUUAACAUUCGAAUCAAUGUUAUCCUUGUUACUGGCGAGUAUGUAUCAAAGUAAUCAAGACCUUCUUUUUAUUUGAAACAUUUUACUACAAGUCUUGCCUUGUAUUUGUCAAUAGUACCAUCCGCUUCUAUUUUUCUUUUAAAGAUUCAUUUAGAACCUAAAGGUUUAUUUCCUGGAGGAAGAUCAACCAAUUCCCAUGUAUGGUUGCAUAAGAUUGAAUCAAUCUCACUAUUGACUGCCUCUUUCUGAAAGGAUGAGUCCGAAGAUGACUUCGCUUCUUUAAAUGUUUGAGGCUCAUUUUCUAAGAGAAAUGUUACAAAAUCCGAACCAAACGAAGUUGGCGUUCUUUGACGUGUACUACGUCUUGGAUUUUCUUCAUUAUGUAUAUUCUCACUUGGUUCAUCUCGAGGUCAUUUAGACCCUCCACUAGACUGUUCAUGUCUAGUUUUAUACGGGUAAAUGUUUUCAAAUAAUUCAGCACUAUUUGAUUUAAUUACCGUAUUUUUAUUUAUAUUCGGAUGUUCAGAAUUAUGAACCAAAAACCAACAUGCUUUACUGCUUUUAGCAUAUCAUAUGAACACGCAGUCCACAGUCUUAGGUCCUAUCUUGACCCUCUUAGGCAUAGGAACUUGGAUCUUUGCUAAACACCCCCACACUUUGAAAUAUUUCAAGUUGGAUUUCCUUCCUUUCCAUUUUUUAUAAGGAAUUGAUUGUGUCUUACUAUGGAGAACUCUAUUGAGUAUACGAUUGGCUAUAAGGAUAGCCUUCCCCCACAAGUUUUACGAUAAACAGGAACUUAUAAGCAAGACAUUCAUCAUUUUCUUCAAAGUUUGAUUUUUUCUUUCCGCAAUUUCGUUAGAUUGAGGUGAAUACGGGGUCGUAGUUUGAUGGACAAUUUUAUUCUCUACACAUAUUUCGGCGAAGGGAGAUUCAUAUUCUCCGCCCCUAUUACUUCUUAUCAUUUUUAUCUUUUUCUCUAACUAAUUUUCUUCUCCAGUUUUGUAUUGCCUAAACACAUCUAUUGCUUCAUCCUUACUAUUUAGCAAGUAGACAUAACAAUAUCUAGUGCAAUCAUCAAUGAAAGUUAUGAAAUACUUUUUUCCACCACGUGAUGGUGUUGACUUCAUAUCACAAAUACCAGUGUGUAUUAAGUCUAAGGGAUUGGAAUUUCUUUCAAUGAACUUAUAAGGAUGUUUUGCAUACUUUGAUUCCACACACGUUUGACACUUUGAUUUAUUGCACUCAAAGUUUGGAAAAACCUCUAAGUUAAUCAACUUACGUAACGUUUUGUAAUUAACAUGGCCUAAACGUUCAUGCCGCAAACUAUAAGACUCAACCAAGUAAGAAGAAUUUGAUUUUAUAUUGAUUUCAACAUUCAUCACAUUCAUCUUAUAAAGGCCCUCGGUGAGAUAGCCUUUUCCUACAUACACUUCCUCUUUCCUAAUUAUAAUUUUUCCAGAAAUGGUUACACAUUUGAAUCCGUUUUUGUCAAGAAGUAAAACAGAAAUUAAGUUCCUACGUAACUCCAGAACAUACAAGACAUUGUUAAGUGUCAAGACCUUUUCUGAAGUCAUUUUCAAGCCCACUUUUCCUGUUCCUUCUACCUUAGCCGUAGCGGAGUUAGCCAUGUAGAUUAUUUCUUCUACUUGAGCCGGAGCGAAUGACGAAAACAACUCUUUGUUGGCACAAACAUGGCGGGUGGCAACAGAAUCCAUCCACCACUUGCGAGGAUUCCCCACCAAGUUGCAUUCUGAAAACAUAGCACACAGAUCAUCACAUUUUUUAUUGGACUCAAUCAUAUUUGCUUGGUCCUUUUUCUUGCCUUUCUUAGGAGCACGACAAUUCGUGGGAUUAUGGCCAAUCUUGCCACAGUUGAAGCACUUUCCCUUGAAUUUCUUCUUGGGUUGAUGGCUUCCUUGUUCAACUUUCUUCCUUUUCUUAGAAUUAUUUUGGUCAUCUUCUACAAUAUGUGCUCCAUUAAUUGUAGAAUUCCCUUUUGUCCUUUUCUCGGCAUCCUUAUUAUCCUCUUCAAUACAUAGUCGGACAAUAAGAUCUUCGACAGUCAUCUCCUUGCGUUUGUGCUUCAAGUAGUUUUUGAAAUCUUUCCACAUAGGUGGUAGCUUCUCAAUGAUCGCUGCUACUUGAAAUGCUUCAUUCGCAAUCAAACCUACAAAAUAGCUUAUGUGAGUACUAAGAAUAUUUUUAAUUUGUUCAACUAAGGUAUUUUUCAAAGAUAUACCUUCUGCUAGGAGAUCGUAAAUGAUUACUUGCAAUUCCUGCACCUGAGAUACAACUGAUUUACUAUCUUUCAUUUUAAAGUCCAAGAACCUUGCAACAAAGAAUUUCUUAAUUCCCGCAUCCUCUGUCUUGUAUUUUCAUUCUAGUGCCCCCCACAAUUCCUUCGAUGUCUUAGUUCCACUGUAAAUAUUGUAGAGGUCGUCUUGAAGACCACUCAAUAUAUAAUCCCUUCAAAGGAAGUCCGAGUAUUUCCAAGCUUCUACAAUCAUGAAAUACUCUUUGUCCGAGGUUCCCUCGGGCACCUCAAGAGCAUCCUCAGUAGUGAACCUUUGAAGGCAUAGAGUGGUGAGGUAAAAGAAUAUCUUUUGCUGCCAUCGCUUAAAGGCAAUGCCCGUAAAUUUUUUGGGCUUCUCCGCAUGUGCCAUUGGUUGCGAAGCAUUUGCUCGACUUGUUGAAGCAAUGCUAGUUGCCCCCACAGUCGUAGCCGCAUCUUGCAUUUGAAUUUCGUUAGUCAUUUUUCCUAUCACCACAAGAUAAUAAAAUUUAGUAUUUUCAGAAUACUAUUUACAAAGUUAAGCAACGUUAAAAUCUUCUUCUUGUUUCUAGUUAACGAUGAAGUUUUUAUGACUUUCAAUCGUCAACCGAAUGAUUUUUAACUUGUGAUGAAGAUUUUAUGUCUUCGAAUCACUAGUUAAGUUCAAACGGAGUAGAAAGCUUAAAGUUUUAAUCUCCAAAAACAAGCAAUACAGAUUCUGCAGAAGGUUAUUCCUUAAGAUUGUUAUCUUUUAUGUAUUCGGGUACAAGAAUCUGUAUAUAAGAAACACAAACUUCAACACCAGUUCAAAUCCAAGACAAGAACACUUAUGAAGUUCCGUAACACCUUCAACACUAGAUUACGAAUAAUCUAUCUAAGAAGUGUGUUAAGAUUCAGAAAAAGGAUGAAACAGAAUUAAAGGACCAAGUCCUCCGAAUUCAUGGAGUGUCCUUAAGGAAUAACUCCCCUCACUGUACCCGAGGUUUUGGAAUCUUCCUCCCAGGAUAAAAUGACCUUCAAUUCGAACAAUAGCAGUACCUCAAAUUGUUGGAUUUAGCGAACUCACCCAACGGUUUAAUAGAUCACACAGAAAGUUUUUCAAGACAAGAAGAGAGUUUGUAUUUCAAAAAAUUCGUGCCUAAACCUGUGGAUGAAAGCAGAUUUAUAUAGCUAAUAUGUUCCUCUUCUGAAAAGUGGCAAUGGUUCACUUAAAAGGUGUGACCUUUCUGGAAAAGCCAUGUCUGUUCGUCCAAAGAAUGUGUCUUUUCCGAACAGGCAUACCAUUUCAUGAAUCAGUGUGUCAUUUCGUUGAAGGGUUGCAUCCCUUCGUUUCAGCACUACACUGUUUCGAAACACUGUUUCGGAAUCUGCAUGCAUGCAUAUAAAUGGAGUAUCAAAACACAGAAAAA